This 492-nucleotide ribosomal RNA is filed under the name uncultured bacterium. RNAcentral describes it as "partial 16S ribosomal RNA". It matches the Rfam family "Bacterial small subunit ribosomal RNA", at positions 29 to 507 of the family's 1533-position model. The record is from RNAcentral.
AGUGAACGCUGGCGGUAGGCCUAACACAUGCAAGUCGAACGGCAGCACAGUAAGAGCUUGCUCUUACGGGUGGCGAGUGGCGGACGAGUGAGGAAUACAUCGGAAUCUACUUUUUCGUGGGGGAUAACGUAGGGAAACUUACGCUAAUACCGCAUACGACCUACGGGUGAAAGCAGGGGAUCUUCGGACCUUGCGCGAUUGAAUGAGCCGAUGUCGGAUUAGCUAGUUGGCGGGGUAAAGGCCCACCAAGGCGGCGAUCCGUAGCUGGACGGAGAGGAUGAUCAGCCACACUAGAACUGAAACACGGUCCAGAGUCCUGCGGGAGGCAGCAGUGGGGAAUAUUGGGCAAUGGGCGCAAGCAUGAUCCAGCCAUACCGCGUCGGUGAAGAAGGCCUUCGGGUUGUAAAGCCCUUUUGUUGGGUAAGAAAAGCAGCAGGUUAAUACCCCGCUGUUCUGACGGUACCCAAAGAAUAAGCACCGGCUAACUUCGUG